Molecule: unclassified non-coding RNA, 215 nt
Filed under: Hevea brasiliensis (rubber tree)
Lineage: Eukaryota; Viridiplantae; Streptophyta; Magnoliopsida; Malpighiales; Euphorbiaceae
Source: RNAcentral
ACCAGUGCCUAAUAAUAUGACAUAGAAUUAAUUAAAUACAAAGAUAGAAGAAACAGGCAUAUAUAAAUAUCUGCAGCUAAAUUGUGAUAGAUAACAUCUUAUGCGCAGGUUUUAAGUUUUUCAUACCCAAUCCUUCUUAUGUACAAAUGAAGGGUUGUAGAGACAUAUCCACUUAGCUUCUGGUGCAUACACCUCCCUCAUUGCCAUAACUUCAC